Molecule: long non-coding RNA, 1668 nt
Filed under: Panax ginseng (ginseng)
Lineage: Eukaryota; Viridiplantae; Streptophyta; Magnoliopsida; Apiales; Araliaceae
Description: long non-coding RNA (PGIN_LNC010379)
Source: RNAcentral
GAAGUAUUUGGUAGGUGAUGUCCUAGAUAUUCAGAGAUAGAAAGUUUACCAUCUCCAUAAUCAAUUAUCUUGUCCAAGAUAUGGGAAGAUCAGCAAAACACAUCAGACUGUACUAAUAGGAAGGGAACAGCAAUAGAGAUACCUACACAAUAUUAUAGAGGUUAUGCAUAAUUAUGGACGACUCUCUCCUUUACAAAUAUUAGUGACCUGCCUUCAUAUAAUUUUAAUGAAAAAUUGAUAUCUUGGAAUCCAACUCUCUAUACAUCUACAGAGAUAGAGACAAACAUAUACACACACACACACACCUAUAUAUAUUUCAUUAAGUGACUAUAUUUGUAAUUUAGUUUGCCUUAGUUUGAGGCCAAAUAAAUCAUUUUUAAACAUUCCAGUAAGUGUAUAAUUGUUUACAUAUAGAAUUAGAAGUAAUUCUAUCAUUUUUAAACAUUCCCACAAGUGCAUAAUUAUUUACAUAUUAAAUUAGAAGCAAUUCCUAAUAAGUUUUGUUACUCAUACCAAGAUGGUUGCAUUCCAUCAAGGUAAAGUAAGUAUCCAUUAUAGAAACAAGAUGAAAAUGGUGGCGGAUAUGAAAUUUUAACAAGAUGAUAUAUUACCCAAUAGAAACAAUUUGGGACAUCGAUAUUUGAAACCUUACAUUACAGCACCAAAACCCAGUAAAGUAGUCAUCUAGGAACCACUUACUGGGUAAGAAAUAUUCAGAUACACACUAGAGAUGCCAAGAACCAUUACUAAACAAAGUUUGUGAUAAUCUACAUCCUUCUUCAAAUCAUAAUCCUCCCUUUAUUUUGCACAGUUUUAAUACUAUUAGCUAAUAUCUUUAUAGCUUGUGAGGAUGCAGAUGUGGCGUUGCCCCUUUAAUAAAUCUUAUCUAGCAUUUAGAAAUGGCAGUUUCAACCAUUCCCGCAAUAACUUGAUCUGCUCCAAACCAAACUGGAUUGGAUUUUGACCUUUAACAAGAACUUAAAUGGAGAUGGGGAGAACCAAAAAUUAAUAAACUGAAUAGGCUUAUCCAUCACUUACUGAAUUGGCAAUUUAUUUUUUUGAGGGCUUCCUAAAGUCAGCAGCUCGUUGAAUAAAAACCAUGUUUUCCAUAUUGCAUAUACUUUAUCGGAGAUGAACAUAUAAAAGCAAACAGGAAACAAUUAAAGAUCAGAGACAUUGAAUCAAAACACUGAUAUUCUGUACUACAUAAUAAACAGGUAUUUCCGUAUCAACAGAUCAUGCAAUAUCAUAAAUAAAAGGCCAUUCUACAUAACCAAUUUAACAAUUAAUAUAUAUCAAGAAGUAGAUCCGUUCGAUAAAAUAUUGUAAGUUGAAUUUUCUAUCCGAAUUAUAAUGAAAGAAUAUGUUUUUAGUAGUAAAGUAGAGAGAAAUUAAAAAAAAAAAUCUACCUUCAAAAGAUUACGCGGAGGAGCAACUGUAUAAAUUUUGGCAGACGAUUCAAGUGCUUACCAAACCCUAAUUUGCUUAGAAUUUGGUCCAAUUCUGUUUCAGCGCCACCGAUAUUGAGGGAACCAAGAGACGGGAAAGCGAUAGCUAAUCUUAGUUGUCCCAGCAGGCAGCACCAGACAAAAGGAUAUAAAUAAAGGUGAGUUACAGUUACCUCCCUCUAGGUUAGAACUUAUUACACAUAGAACCCUUCUUCUUUGU